ACGGAGAAUCGCUGAAGAGACGAAGCGUCGGGCACGAGGACAAGCGCCUUGCAGUUGUCACGUGGUGUGAAAAUCGGGCGCGAGACCACGCCGGCAAGGGCCUGGCACCGGGGCAGCGGGCGAAGUGGGCGCUCGGAUAACGCCCGCCUCGCACGCCCAAGGCCCCGCGCGGCAGCAACGUGGCGAUGGGGACCCGCAGGUACGGCCUGAGGGCAGAGUGAGGACAGACAGCUCCCUGACCAGCCUCACCAGAGCACGGGGUCGCUCAGGUACAAACAGACAAACGUAAGGGAGAUGGUAAGACUGGAGCUCAGAAAGACUGGCUGACGCGAUGUAGGUGGGACUCUGACUGCAUUCUGUCUUUGCUUGCGCG
Penaeus monodon (black tiger shrimp) is the source of this 373-nucleotide long non-coding RNA. RefSeq lists it as uncharacterized. NCBI's taxonomy places the organism in Eukaryota, Metazoa, Arthropoda, Malacostraca, Decapoda, Penaeidae. The record is from RefSeq and is a predicted model, not a curated record. The transcript is spliced from 3 exons.